GUAAUUUCAUGUGCUGCAGCGGCAACAGAAAAACCAAUUUCCCCGGUGUACUUCCUUUUCCCAUGGCCUGCACACAAGUGCCCUGCUGGAAAUAAGAAUUUCGACAAGUGCGCAAUGAACGAAGCCCAACACUGCACCAGUAACGUUGGUUACUGCUGCCACGGCGUAUGCCUCUGCUUACGGUCAAGCAUCAUCAUGUGUCCGCGCCUUCAAAAACCACGAUACCUCGUUGGCGUGCACUGAAUCAUUGCACUUAUGGCCUAUGUAUUUCUGCAGAGUAAUAUGGGCUUUAUGGCAGCAUAACGUUAAAAGGCGAAACUAGAUCGCCUUCAUGAAUGCCAUAUCAAGUGAAAUGAAUACUAAUAAAAUUCUGCUCACAGGCCUC
Molecule: long non-coding RNA, 385 nt
Organism: Dermacentor silvarum
Lineage: Eukaryota; Metazoa; Arthropoda; Arachnida; Ixodida; Ixodidae
Exons: 3
Source: RefSeq, a predicted model, not a curated record